GAAGCAUUCUAGUUGCAGCAGCUCAUUAUGGAGCAGUGACAAUGGGUGCAGAUAUUGACAUUCGAGUAGUACGUGAUGGCCGCGGUCCAGAUUGUAAUGUCUGGAGCAACUUCAAGCAGUACGGACUGCCAAUGCCUAUUGGUUUAUUAAGGGCAGACAACAACCUUCCUCCUUGGCGUUCGGGGUUGAAUGAGAUUUUUGAUGCCAUUAUAUGUGACCCUCCCUAUGGAGUCCGUGCUGGAGGACGUAAAUCUGGUGGCAGGAAGCUAUUGAAAGGAAUGAUUGGUCCAUAUACAGUUCCUGAUGACAAAAGGACAGGCCAUAUACCAUCAACUGCUCCUUACAGCUUAGUGGAAUGCGUGCAUGAUUUGCUUGACCUUGCUGCUAAGAUGCUUGUGAUUGGUGGCCGGCUUGUGUACUUCUAU
Molecule: unclassified non-coding RNA, 425 nt
Filed under: Hevea brasiliensis (rubber tree)
Lineage: Eukaryota; Viridiplantae; Streptophyta; Magnoliopsida; Malpighiales; Euphorbiaceae
Source: RNAcentral